CGGCCGCGUCGACGGGGAGUCGAUAACCAGACUUUGAUCCGAGGAUUUCCGAAUGGGGAAACCCGGCUGGAGGCAAGUCCAGUCACUCCUGUCUGAAUAUAUAGGGGCAGGUAGAGGGAACGCGGGGAAGUGAAACAUCUCAGUACCCGCAGGAAGAGAAAACAAUAGUGAUUCCGUGAGUAGUGGCGAGCGAAAGCGGAUGAGGCCAAACCGGGUCUGUGUGAUAGCUGUCAGGCGUUGCAGGUUCGGGGUUGUGGGGCUUUCUGUUCCAGGACUGACAUUCUGGGCUGGAGUAAGAAAUUCAUGUCAUAGUCGAAGAGUCUUGAAUGGCUCGGCAUAGAGGGUGCGACCCCCGUAGACGAAAUGGUGUGGACUCCAGAUGAUUGUUCCCAAGUAGCACGGGGCCCGUGAAAUCUCGUGUGAAUCUGGCGGGACCACCCGCUAAGCCUAAAUAUUCCCUGGUGACCGAUAGCGGGUCGACGCGGCCG
RNAcentral lists this ribosomal RNA (488 nucleotides) under uncultured bacterium. RNAcentral describes it as "bacterial LSU rRNA". It matches the Rfam family "Bacterial large subunit ribosomal RNA", at positions 63 to 508 of the family's 2925-position model. The record is from RNAcentral.